This 70-nucleotide transfer RNA is filed under the name Marmota marmota marmota (Alpine marmot). It matches the Rfam family "tRNA". Rfam says of the family: Transfer RNA (tRNA) molecules are approximately 80 nucleotides in length. Their secondary structure includes four short double-helical elements and three loops (D, anti-codon, and T loops). RNAcentral also lists the same sequence under 1 other name. The record is from Rfam by way of RNAcentral. Lineage: Eukaryota; Metazoa; Chordata; Mammalia; Rodentia; Sciuridae.
GGAGAUGUAGCUCAGUUGGUAGAGUGCUUGCCUUGUCUGAAGGAGGCCCUGGGUUCAAUCCCCAGCACCA